Molecule: ribosomal RNA, 318 nt
Filed under: uncultured bacterium
Lineage: Bacteria
Description: bacterial SSU rRNA
Rfam family: Bacterial small subunit ribosomal RNA
Source: RNAcentral
GAUGAACGCUAGCGGCAGGCUUAACACAUGCAAGUCGAGGGGCAGCAUGACACGGAGAUUCGUCGAAGUGUUGAUGGCGACCGGCGCAAGGGUGCGUAACGCGUGAGCAACUUGCCCGUUUCUGGGGAAUAACCGGUGGAAACGCCGACUAAUACCCCAUGGUAUUGAUCAGAGGCAUCUUUGGUCAAUUAAAGAAUUUCGGAAACGGAUAGGCUCGCGUGACAUUAGCUAGAUGGCGGGGUAACGGCCCACCAUGGCGACGAUGUCUAGGGGUUCUGAGAGGAAGGUCCCCCACACUGGAACUGAGACACGGUCCAG